GCCAAAGCAGCUAAACCCCCAGCAGGCUUGAAGAAAAGAGGACCGGCUGGCAAGCAAUCUCAGGGAUUGAGCCAGAAGCUUCUAACUGAUAUGCUGAAGCCCGCAGAAAAUUCAGGAAUAUCACCAGAGAAAAAAGUGAGAAAAAUGAGGUCAUCUCCUUUCAACAAGAAGAGUGGUUCUGUUUUGGGCAGAGACAGCACGGAAAAUGAGACCACAGCAAGUGAAGAGAUUAUGGAAGUGCCAGCAAGAUCUAGACCACAAAGGGAGAACCGCAGGCAGACCAAGUAUGUGAUAAGUGACUCUGACAGUGACCAGGCUGAGAAUGAUUCUGACUUUGAUAGUGACCAGGACAAUGAUGAUGAUUUCAGUGAAGAUGAAGACUAAGUUGCUACUUUUCUCUUGAUACAGAGUGGCACUUUAGAUUAGAAAUGGGAAGCCCUGAAC
Molecule: unclassified non-coding RNA, 444 nt
Filed under: Hevea brasiliensis (rubber tree)
Lineage: Eukaryota; Viridiplantae; Streptophyta; Magnoliopsida; Malpighiales; Euphorbiaceae
Source: RNAcentral